This is a long non-coding RNA of Lactuca sativa (garden lettuce), 766 nucleotides long. RefSeq lists it as uncharacterized. The record is from RefSeq and is a predicted model, not a curated record. NCBI's taxonomy places the organism in Eukaryota, Viridiplantae, Streptophyta, Magnoliopsida, Asterales, Asteraceae.
ACUAAUUUGCCAAUAAAUAAUAGAAUUCCGAGACUUCACUCAUUCCCUACGAAACUUCCAUUAAUUCCACAGCAUUGGCAAGAAGGUCUUGAAGGUCUGAGUCUCACCGGAGCAUCACAUUGAGUUACAACAAGGCUUUUUCGGGUCAGGAUGGAUUUUCGGAAUAAUUUGGUGAUGGUAGCUGGAAGCGUAGUGUUCAACAUGGUGAUGUGUCUGGUACGAUUCCCAGGAGGACUUGCAACCCUUGGGAACAGAGAUGGCGAUUGGGUGUUCUUCUAUGCGGACUUGAUAGCUCUAUGCAUCUCCAUGAAUGUGCUUGUUGUUGGAAUGAGUGUGGGACCCACACUCUGGAAAAAGAUCGAGGAGCUAGCAAGGAAUGCCAUGCUUAUUGCACUUUCUGCUAUGGCGAUAGCUGUUCAUCAGAUUAUUCUUAGGGUUUUAGAGGGCGACUACUGGUCGAGGCUUUUUGUUAAUGGGUCCUUCAUUGCGUUGGCAGUUGUCACUUGUGGUUUCAACAUCUUUCUGAGGUGUGGUUAUUGGACCAAGUAGAGACUCUGUUGAUGCUUUUGAUGUCGUCUCUUCUAUAACACUAUUGAAUAUUAUUAGUUUGGAUAUGUAUUAGUCUUUUCUUCUGGGUUUCAUUUUCUUCCAUUUUAGUCUACGAAUUACCAAGAAGACCUAGUUUACUAAAAUUAUGUAUAGCUAUUCUUCUGUUCUAUACAAGUCCAACAGGAAUGGAAUAUGAUAUAUAUUAUUAGUUGUUGAA